GAUGAACGCUGGCGGCGUGCCUAAUACAUGCAAGUCGAGCGAACGGACGAGAAGCUUGCUCCUCUAAUGUUAGCGGCGGACGGGUGAGUAACACGUGGAUAACCUACCUAUAAGACUGGGAUGACUUCGGGAAACCGGAUCUAAUACCGGAUAAUAUUUUGAACCGCAUGGUUCAAAAGUGAAAGACGGUCUUGCUGUCACUUAUAGAUGGAUCCGCGCUGCAUUAGCUAGUUGGUAAGGUAACGGCUUACCAAGGCAACGAUGCAUAGCUGACCUGAGAGGGUGAUCGGCCACACUGGAACUGAGACACGGUCCAGACUCCUACGGGAGGCAGCAGUGGGGAAUAUUCCACAAUGGGCGCAAGCCUGACGCAGCAAUGCCGCGUGAGUGAUGAAGGUCUUCGGAUCGUAAAGCUCUUUUAUUAGGGAAGAACAGAUGUGUAUGAAUAUGUGCACAUCUUGACGGUACCUAAUCAGAAAGCCCCGGCUAACUUCGUG
RNAcentral lists this ribosomal RNA (497 nucleotides) under uncultured bacterium. RNAcentral's name for it is "partial 16S ribosomal RNA". It matches the Rfam family "Bacterial small subunit ribosomal RNA", at positions 28 to 507 of the family's 1533-position model. The record is from RNAcentral.